RNAcentral lists this ribosomal RNA (292 nucleotides) under uncultured bacterium. RNAcentral describes it as "partial 16S ribosomal RNA". It matches the Rfam family "Bacterial small subunit ribosomal RNA", at positions 505 to 796 of the family's 1533-position model. The record is from RNAcentral.
GUGCCAGCCGCCGCGGUAACACGGGGGGAGCAAGCGUUGUUCGGAUUCAUUGGGCGUAAAGAGCUCGUAGGUGGCUCUGUAAGUCGGUGGUGAAAGCCCACGGCUCAACCGUGGAUACGCCUCCGAAACUGUGGAGCUUGAGGCUGGGAGAGGAAAUCGGAAUUCCUGGUGUAGCGGUGAAAUGCGUAGAUAUCAGGAGGAACACCGGUGGCGAAGGCGGAUUUCUGGACCAGUUCUGACACUGAGGAGCGAAAGCCAGGGGAGCAAACAGGAUUAGAAACCCCCGUAGUCC